Triticum aestivum (bread wheat) is the source of this 136-nucleotide non-coding RNA. Lineage: Eukaryota; Viridiplantae; Streptophyta; Magnoliopsida; Poales; Poaceae. The record is from Rfam.
CAGAUACUCUCUCCGUCUCAAAAUAAUCAUCUUGAGUUCAUCUAAAUAUACAUGUAUCUAGACAUGUUUUAGUGUCCAGAUACAUCCGUAUUUAGACGAAGUCAAAACGAUUAUUUUGAGACGGAGGGAGUACAAG